This is an RNA transcript of Sus scrofa (pig), 7817 nucleotides long. It is a transcript of the gene named folliculin interacting protein 2, with no coding region annotated. Lineage: Eukaryota; Metazoa; Chordata; Mammalia; Artiodactyla; Suidae. The record is from RefSeq and is a predicted model, not a curated record.
CGUCAUAUGACCGGCCGGCGGCCCCGGCGCCGAGCAGACUCCCGCCGCCGCGAUGGCCCCGCCGCCGCCCCCGGCCGCGCGCUGAGCCGGCCGCGCGCCGCGGGAGCCGCAGCCGCGGCGUCAUGGCCCCGACCCUGCUCCAGAGGCUCUUCAACAAGAAGGGCGGAGGCAGCUCCGCGGCAGCGGCGGCCCCUGGCCGUGCGCCUCGAGAGGGACCUGCCUUCAGUUGGUCGUGCUCGGAGUUGGACCUGAAUGAGAUUCGCCUGAUAGUUUACCAGGACUGUGAAAGGAGAGGCAGACAAGUCUUGUUUGAUUCUAAAGCUGUGCACGAGAUUGAGGAGGUGGCAACUCAGAAAACAGAGGACGUUGCUGGGAAAGCUUCGGCCAAGUGCUGCCACAGCGGCGGUGGCAGCCUCUCUUCCCACGGUGCUCCUGGGAGCUCCUUCCAGCACACCAAGGAGCAGCUCCCCAAGUACCAGUACACACGGCCAGCCUCCGACGUCAACAUGCUGGGUGAGAUGAUGUUCGGCUCUGUCGCCAUGAGCUACAAGGGCUCCACCCUGAAGAUACACUAUAUCCGCUCUCCUCCACAACUGAUGAUUAGUAAAGUCUUCUCAGCCAGAAUGGGCAGCUUCUGCGGGAGUACAAAUAACCUGCAGGACAGCUUUGAAUACAUCAACCAAGAUCCUAACUUGGGGAAACUGAACACAAAUCACAACAACCUGGGUCCCUGUCGGACUGGAAGUAACUUAGGUGUGCUGCAGGGAUGUGGCAGCAAGCUGUCACGGGGGGCGGCCGAAGGAGGACCACUCCCGCUCAGCCGCAGUGCCUCCUUCUUCGCAGCGCACAGCACUCCAGUGGACAUGCCCAGCAGGGGACAGAAUGAAGACAGGGACAGCGGCAUCGCCCGAUCAGCCUCCCUAAGCAGCCUUCUGAUCCCACCUUUCCCAUCUCCAAGUUCCUCCACGUCCUCGUCUAGCAGUUAUCAGCGCCGCUGGCUUCGGAGCCAGACAACAAGCUUGGAGAAUGGCAUCUUUCCCCGGAGGUCAACUGAUGAGACAUUCAGCUUGGCUGAGGAAACCUGCAGUUCCAACCCUGCCAUAGUUCGGAGGAAGAAGAUUGCCAUCAGCAUCAUCUUCUGCCUGUGCGAAAAGGAAGAAGCGCAGAGGAAUUUCCAGGACUUCUUUUUUUCUCAUUUCCCCCUAUUUGAAUCUCACUUGAACAGGCUGAAGAGUGCAAUUGAAAAGGCCAUGAUCUCCUGCAGGAAGAUAGCUGAGUCAGGUCUCCGUGUCCAGUUUUAUGUCAGCCGUCUGAUGGAAGCUCUGGGAGAAUUCAGAGGGACCGUCUGGAGCCUGUACUCCGUUCCGAGGAUAGCGGAGCCUGUGUGGCUCACCAUGAUGUCCAGCACCUUGGAGAAAACCCAGCUCUGCCAGCGCUUCCUCAAGGAAUUCACCCUCCUGAUAGAGCAGAUCAACAAGAACCAGUUUUUUGCUGCCUUGCUGACUGCAGUGCUGACCUAUCACCUGGCCUGGGUCCCGACCGUCAUGCCUGUUGAUCACCCUCCCAUCAAGGCCUUCUCAGAGAAACGCACCUCUCAGCUGGUGAACACACUGGCCAAGACGCACCCGUACAAUCCUCUGUGGGCACAGCUGGGCGACCUUUAUGGAGCCAUCGGCUCUCCUGUGCGGCUGACCCGCACAGUGGUGGUGGGGAAGCAGAAGGAUUUGGUCCAGCGCAUUCUUUACGUCCUGACCUACUUCCUCCGCUGCUCAGAACUGCAAGAGAACCAGCUGACGUGGAGCGGGAACCACGGUGAAGAUGAGCAGGUGCUAAAUGGAAGCAGUAUCACGACGGCCCUGGAGAGGGGGGAAGUGGAGGAGUCCGAGUAUGUGGUGGUCACGGUCAGGAGCGAGCCUGCCCUGCUGCCGCCCAUCCUGACCCCGACGGCGGCCGAGGGACUGGCUGGGGCCCAAGCUGGCACCGACAUCAAAGGCCCAUGUCCCAAAGUCGACGGAGAAGGAAGUCUGGGCCCCGGGCAGAGUCCCGCGGAUUCCGGUGCUUGGAGAUCUCAGGGCAUGUCGUGUGGGGAUGAGGAGAGUCAAAAGGAGGACCCCCGAGGUGGCUCUUCGAGGCUCCCCAGCUGCGCGGGUCUGGGGCCAGGACUGAAGAUGGGUGAGGAGGUGAGAGCAGAGCUGCCGAAGAUGCUGCCGGACCGAUCCGGGGCCCGGCCGUGCCCGGAUGCUCAUUCCCGGGAGAGGUCGCCCUGGGAGAAGGUCACCUUCCAUAUCGGAAGCUCCGCGUCUCCAGAGUCGGACUUUGAAAGUCGCACCAAAACCAUGGAGGAGCGGCUGCAGGCCUGGUGCGUGGAGCCCUCAGCCCGCCCUGGGUCGGCUGCCGACGAUUCAGCCCUAGAGGCCCAGGACCAGCAGGCUUCCAGGUGCUCCUGCGCGCCCCCCGGGGUUCUCCCGGCAGCCUUUGCUGGCAGCAGCGGAGGCUCUGUGGAGGUGCGCAGUGUCAGGACCGAGGUCGUGGCGGAUGCUGCGGGGCUGCCCAGCGCACCUGCCGGUUGGUGCGCAUCUGUGGGUUCUGCCCGCGCGCGGGGAAGAACCUGGGGUACGCGGGGGAAGAACACCGAGGGACCUGUUCCCGAUGGGGACGCCAGCAGUCAGGCCAGCUUCAGGGUGGAAGGAGACAUCCCCAGAAACGAAAGCUUGGACAGCGCCCUCGGGGCCAGUGACGACGAGGCGUGCGCUUCAGCCUCGCUGGAUCUGGGUCCCAGCAAUCGUGAAGGUGACCUUGACGGGCCUGAAAGGUCUCUGGAGGUGGAGCUGCCGCUGCCCAGGGAUGAUGGCGGGCUUAGGGCAGCUGAGGUCUGAGCCAGGAGGCCGGCAGUAUCUACUUUCUUGAGUCACUUGGGAGAAGCCAAGGGAUGUGAUGGCCACUGGGAGGAGGAAGUGUCAUCUUCUGUUUCUGUGAGGGGUUCCACCUCCACAGCAGACACCCAGCCUGGGAGGUGGUACCAGGUUACACUCUGAGUGGCUUCUCCCUGCGGUCAGAGCAGCAUGAAGUGGUCAGGAAACAGCCCCUCUUCCUAACAUCCAUCAGGUUAGUAAUUUGGUCUGACGGGGCUGAAAGCAGCAAUUAGAGAUGUCUUCUAUUCCUGAUGUCCUGGCGCCAGCCACCGUGCGCAGGUGUGUCACCUUUCUAUAGCCAUACUUCACCAAGACUCCUAGACUUUUACUUUCUUCACUGUCUUAACACAGAUUGCCUGGUGGCUCUUCUGUGUGAGGCCAGUGAACAGACUCCUAGCCAAUCAUCAGAAUAUUACUUUCUCCCUGUUCUUACUCUCGAAAAAAACUUUCUCUUCAGCUCCCUUUCUUUUCCCACCCCAACAACCUGCUCGCUGGAGGGUCCUUGAUGUGAACCACUUGGAAUCUGUUUUCUCACCUGUGUCACUGGGAAUUGUUUCUGGCUGCAGUGCAGGAAGGGAGCACAUUCCAGGUGGAUGCUGUAAUGGAUCAGUGUGGUUUUAGGUCUCGGAGCAUCAGCAACCCCAACGUGAGAAACUUUGGCCGCUCUCUUCUGGCGGGUUACUGCCCCACAUACAUGCCUGACCUGGUGCUUCAUGGGACCAGCAGCGAUGAGAAGCUGAAGCAGUGCCUGGCAGCUGACCUGGUCCACACGGUCCAUCACCCCGUGCUCGAUGAACCUAUCGCCGAGGCAGUCUGCAUCAUCGCAGACACGGAUAAGUGGAGUGUCCAGGUGGCCACAAGUCAGAGGAAGGCAGUAGACAGCACGAAACUUGGCCAGGACGUCCUGGUCUCGAGUCAGGUGUCCAAUCUACUCCAGUCCAUCCUGCAGCUGCACAAACUUCACCUCCCCGCCGAUUUUUGCAUCAUGCAUCUUGAAGACAGACUGCAGGAGAUGUACCUUAAGAGUAAGAUGCUGUCUGAAUAUCUCCGUGGACACACACGUGUCCAUGUGAAGGAAUUAAGUGUCGUGUUGGGGAUCGAGUCCAACGACCUGCCUCUGCUGACGGCCGUCGCCAGCACUCACUCUCCUUACGUGGCCCAAAUACUGUUAUAAGCUAACACUCAGGACAGCUCUUCCUCGGAGGAAGUAAAACCUGAUGCUCAGCUGAAGGAGGGAGAGGGCAGACCCCCUGGGACGAUGCAGUGUGAGCAGAGCAGAGCAGCGGAAGGAUCAUUCCAGUUCUGGGCCGUGUCUGUUGUGUCGCUGUCCAGGGGUGCCUGUUGGAAGACUGUGGUUUACUGUCCUGAGCACAUCAGGCCUCUGUCACCCUGGAGUCAGCAGGGGGCAGCCUUCCAGCUUCUUGCAGAGGAAGCAGAACCCUGCGUGGAUGCCCAGCUGGGGGUCCAGAUAGCCUAUGUUUGGACACAGCGGUGGUAAGCGGCCUCAGAGCAGGGCUGAACUACGCACAUACCAUUCCAAUAGGAAUUGUUUCACAGUUAAGCAUGAGCUCUCCAAACUGGAGAAAGCUAUCCCGCUAUCCUGAGGAACUGGCCAGGGCAGGGACCCUGGACACCAGGUACAGGGGUGGAGUGAAGACAGUGCAGGUACCAUCUUCAGCUCCGGUGGCUUUGGUGUCACCGUCUAAUGUAAAACAUAGGUGGCCUGGCUGGGAGGCCAGUCUUCUCUGAGUUUACCUUGUUUGACUGCAGGCCCCAGUAGGCUAAGGGUGGAUUGUUGGUGCAAUAAACCCAAGAAUCAAUGUAGCAUUUGGAUCCCAUCAAGGUGAGGUCUGUGGCAGCCACGGACACCAUCUGACCCCACGUGGCUGGUCCCGAUGCUUCAGGGCUUUCAGCAGCCUUUUCAUGAGAGGCCAUUUACCAAAGUUAUUUGUAUAAGCUCAAGAGAGUUUCUGUUGCUAAAUUCUUCCAGCUGAGGUUACCCCCUUCCUAUAAUAUUUAAUACAAAUGACUGUUUAGACUUUAAAAGGCACAGCUAUCCAGGUGGGGAAGAGAACCUGCCACCAUUCAGGACAAGUCAUGAAAGUAAUUAGUUUGAACGUUCAUAAACAAUUCAUAGAUGACCUAAAUUUUUACAUUAUCAUUUCUGUCCCUUCCAAUCCCAAUGUUCUUUUCAAAUCACCUUUCCAGAAAUUGACCCAUAGUAUAAAACCUGCCAAAAUGAAGAAUUGUUUGUUUUUUAGCAUCAUUUGCUUUCUUUAAAAAAACAAAAACAAGCAAGCAAGAACUUGAUUUUAUUUUGACAUAAAAGAAACUUGAGUUUAUUGACCAACCGUGAAGCAGACAAUAUAUUGACAUCCAGGGUAAAGGAAAAGACUUUUUGAUAAACGGAUCAUUAAAAGGCAGGAGCUGACCUCGUACAGAAAACAGCAUCCUGCAGGUCUUGAUAGUUCACUAUAUAACCAGGCGCUGAUUUCCUCCACUCCUUUAUGAAUUGAUUCUGGCCCUUUCCAUGUAGUCUUUGCACCUAAGAAUAUGAAACGACUUCCCUUUCAAGAUUUAGAAUGACUUCAGAUUUUCUAGUUGAGAAAAUCCUCAUCCCAAACAUCAGGUUACAUAAGGCUAUGUCUGUAAUUCUUUUACAAGUGCAAGUUAGUUAUUUGUUUGAAAGUGCAGAGCAGCAGAACCCAUGGAGAAGAAAAGGUGUGUUAUUCCUUUUUUUUUUUUUUUUUUUUUUUUAUGGCCCCACCUGCGGCAUAUAGAAGUUCCUAGGCCAGGUGGUCGAAUCCGAGCCAUGGCUGCAACCUACACCAUAGUUGUGGCAAAGCGAGAUCCUUAACCCACAGCACCACAGCAGGAACUCUGGCUGUGUUAUUUGUUAAGAAAGAUUCUUAGGAAUAGAACUGCUGCCUCCCCCUGUUAUUUACCAUGUGAAAUGGAGAUGGGUGCAUUGAGGCUCUUCUUUUAAGGUCUUUAAUUUGUACUUUUCUGUCUUUUAACAAAAUUAACAUUGUCCGUUUGUCUGUGUCUUUCUGUUUGCUCUUGCCCAACACCUAAGAUUGGUGUUUGGAGUCCCCGGUUCCGUGACACCAUUGCUGUUGUCCUGUUCACGGGGAGCAGACCUCACCUGCGGCUGCGCUCCUCCCUCAGUCAUGUUCCAUUACAUGUGACCCUGUUGUGACAAGUGACGUCACAGCAUCCCCUCUUGCACCAGUUUCAAGCAUUCCCCCAUCUCUGGUUCCUUGUCCUUGUUUACACAUUCUGGGCACUUUCCUUCAUCCGCCACCUUCCAGAGUUUGUAGAAAAUGAGAUAUAAAAUCAGUUCUUUUCUUGUGGGCACAUAGUGGCCUGUUGAAAAUUAGACCCAAACCGGGGGACGUCGAGCUUUAAGUGGCCGAUCCUGAACUCUGUACCUGAAAGACUGGGCCUCAAAGUGGGAGGAGACUGGCUCUGCCUCUUCACCUGCUGUCCCAGGCUCCCCUGGAAGGGGGCCACCUGGGGAGGCCGCCUCUGUGACCUCAGGACCCCGGGCAGCCCCAGUCCUCCUGGCUGCUGCCUGCACCACAGACCAGGAAUGUCACUGCUCUUCUAUAACCCUCCUCUGAAGAACACUCCUGUGUUCCUUCCGCUAAACUCAGCAUCUUCCCCAAAGCGGGAACGCAAAGGAUCUCACGGGUCGCUUCGGGAUGUACCCUCGCACACCGGACCCCACCCAGGCGGUGGCUUCGUUUGGUCUCAGCCCAAGAGGCAAAAAGGGACCCGCCCCUCAGCCCAGGCCCACCUCAAGGAAAAAAUAAACAUGAAAAAAAAAAAAAAAAGUGAAAACAGAGAAAACUACCUCAGUCGACAGGAUUCCAUCUUUAGGGUUUCUUCAGCUUUGAAGUCUUACCUGUUGAGUGUACCUUGUGUAGCACCUUGCUUUUCUGAGCAAGCUGGAAGGAGGCACGACCGGGCAGGUGUGUGUCUGAGUUACUCUGAUAGGCCUCCUUCCAGAACGUGCGUUGGAUUUUGCAUAGAUCGCCAAGUGAUAUGAAUGUAAAGAGAGUUGUGUAUGUUGAGGCGUAAUGAAAAUGUAAAAUGCAGCUUCCAUACUUGUGCAUAAUUCCAAAGUAUUUUAUUUUUUAUCAGUGUUAAAUAGCUUUUUGUACAGGCUUCAAUCCAUUUUCCUCAAGUGUGCUGUUUUUUAAUGAACGCAACUUUCAACUUUUCACAUCCCAUGGAACUGCUGUUUAUGCGUCGCAACUUUUUAAAACUUAACCAUAUUUUUCAAAAUUAACUUUGUUUUGGAGGGAGGAGAAUCCCCGCCUGCUGAAUGAUAUUAAACUGUUGUUUAGGCCCUUCUGAUUAGGUCCUGAGAUUUUAUAAAAUUCAGUCUGUAACUAAGUUGGUUGUACAUAAAGAUAAAGAAUAUACAGUAACCUCACAGUUCUUUUAAAUUUAUGGAUUUUUCCACUAAUAUGAACUUUUGAAGGUAUUUUGUUCAUGCAUACCAUUAAAUCCAAAAAGUCUUUAGCUUCUUGGUAAAUGUGAACCCUUUGUUUUCUAUUGUGCUUUGGGGAAGGGACCUUUUAAUAUAAUAUUUACUUAAAUCAAGCAGCCCCUUCUGAAUGUUCAUUUUUAAAUGUCAGCAUUUGGUGAACCGUAUAUCUUGGAAGCAAGAUUACAUAUGCUUAAAUUUAAGUGGUGUUUAAAAUAGGAGAAAAUUCUGGGACUGAUUCAUUAUUAUUAAAACUCCAUUAAUGCAAUUGGUAAGACAUUCUAUUUUUGAUCACUUAAAUAGAUUUCCAUGUCAGUGUGUGGACAUUUUUUCUUAAAACUCGUUCACAUAUUAUUUUGAUCCAUUUUUCUGUGGCAUUUGGUGCAAUAAACCUUUGAAUUUAUCUCCAA